CGCCGCCGCCGCAGCCUGGCCCGGCCCUCCCCGACUGCGCGAGCGCGACACCGGGGGCCUUUUACGACAGUUCGGAAAGCAAGCGCGCCGGACCUUCACGCCCUCUCACGUCGGUUAGUACAGCUCAUGGUCUCCAAUGUGGGACAGUGUUGAACUGGGAAAUGGUGCCAUCUACUGAAGCAACGUUCCAGAAGCAUCCUAACAACCAGUUCAUUUUGAAGAACAUGAGUCAAAGAUAGAAGACUGUCCACAUGUGUUUGUCAUACCCAACGUCACCCUGACGAAGGAAUUAAAAAGGUACCAACCUAACUCAAGGAAAUGGGACCAAGCCAUUAGCCAGCCAGUCCUCUCAAAUGUCUGGAAGGGAAAUCAGAGAACUGGGCCAGCUCUCGUUGAGGUGAAUCUCUGACAGCUUCAACUGUACUACCUGGAUUAUGAAGUCUCCUAGGCCAUAGUAAAAAUGAGGCUGGAGGAUCGCCCAUGCAACUGUACUACCUGGAUUAUGAAGUCUCCUAGGCCACAGUAAAAAUGAGGCUGGAGGAUCGCCCAUGCAACUGUACUACCUGGAUUAUGAAGUCUCCUAGGCCAUAGUAAAAAUGAGGCUGGAGGAUCGCCCAUGCAACUGUACUACCUGGAUUAUGAAGUCUCCUAGGCCACAGUAAAAAUGAGGCUGGAGGAUCGCCCAUGCAACUGUACUACCUGGAUUAUGAAGUCUCCUAGGCCAUAGUAAAAAUGAGGCUGGAGGAUCGCCCAUGCAACUGUACUACCUGGAUUAUGAAGUCUCCUAGGCCAUAGUAAAAAUGAGGCUGGAGGAUCGCCCAUGCAGCUUUUAAGGACCAGACAUGAAAAUCGCUUACAUCAGUUCCACCCACAUCCCAUCAGCCAAACUGCUAGGGAGGUUUCAGCCUAAGUGCCUCAGCACCAGGGAGAAGAACACACAUAUUUCCCUGCAGCUUCACUUUCCCUGCAGCUCUCCAUAGGCUGUGAAUGUAUAGCUCAAUAUGUCUGGCAGAAGGCCCUGAACUCAGUCUCCAGCACCACAAAAAGGUAAAAAACAAAUGAAUGUAAGGUUAGUGAUGGACAACAGAGAAGCAUCCCUCAUCCCUAAUAUGUGGCAGAUACAGGAAAAAAGAAAACGUGGAUGGAAGGAGAGGCCUCCUCAAAUUCUCACACAGAGAUAAUUCAUAAUCUCCAGACACCUAUCCAGAGAAGAAACAUUGUCACCCUCCUUUCCUUUAAUGCAGUAGUAACACAUAUGUAUUGUUCCUUUGUAAACUAGGCUGACACCCAUAGCAGGGGCACUUACAGUGGGACAGCUGCUAACCAGUGUGACCGACUUCUGCCUGGGUGAGGACCAUGAAUCAGAUGGAUUUAUUAUGAACCUGUUUUUCCAGUUGUAAAUGUUACUCUAAUUAUGUGGUUUAAUUAUCUAUUACUCACGUCUAAGAAAUAUAAGUUCCAAAAUUCAAAGAAAAGUCUUCACCGCUUUGAAGAGCCACAGCUAGGCCUGCUUCACAGAAACUUCAGGCAGGCUCACUGAAGCCUUGGGAACAGGACAGCUGUGGAAGUAUGGCCGUGGAAGGGCCGGCUCACCCUGCAGCUGUGCCUGCCUCACCUUGCCCCACUCCAGCUUUGAAGUAAAAUCAAAGGCAACGGCUGACCUGCCGUUCUGGUGCUCCUGGCCUGGAGAGUAUUCAUUUCCUUGGACAACUUGGUUUCCUGACCACCAUGAAGAAUAAAGUUUUGGUAGCAUGAGUGAGGCCUGAAUUUGAUCAAGAGCAAGAGAGAUCGACAGCAAGAGUGAAAGAGAGAUUGAUUAUUCUUAGACUUUGCGUCCCAUAUAAAAUCCAAAUGAAUUCCUCUAAUCAUACUACAAAUAAAGAGGU
Long non-coding RNA from Peromyscus californicus insignis, 1886 nucleotides. RefSeq lists it as uncharacterized. Lineage: Eukaryota; Metazoa; Chordata; Mammalia; Rodentia; Cricetidae. The record is from RefSeq and is a predicted model, not a curated record. The transcript is spliced from 5 exons.